Molecule: ribosomal RNA, 299 nt
Filed under: uncultured beta proteobacterium
Lineage: Bacteria; Pseudomonadati; Pseudomonadota; Betaproteobacteria
Description: partial 16S ribosomal RNA
Rfam family: Bacterial small subunit ribosomal RNA
Source: RNAcentral
GCGUUAUCGGAUUACUGGGCGUAAAGSGUCCGCAGGYUGUUUKGUAAGUCAGAUGUGAAAGCCCCGGGCUCAACCUGGGAACUGCAUYUGAAACUGCACAGGACUAGAGUAUGUGCGAGAGGGGGAGUGGAAUUCCRCGUGUAGCGGUGAAAUGCGUAGAUAUSYGGAGGAACACCGAUGGCGAAGGCAGCUCCCUGGGCCAAUACUGACGCUCAUGGACGAAAGCGUGGGGAGCAAACAGGAUUAGAUACCCUGGUAGUCCCAYGCCCUAAACGAUGUCUACUAGCUGUCGGGGCUUU